GGAAAACGGGUGGUAAUGCCGGAUGCUCCGACUCCUCGCAUGGGGUGUCGGGAAAGAUUUCAUCGGUAUGGGAUGGGGUCGCGUCCUAUCAGGUAGUCGGCGGGGUAACGGCCCACCGAGCCUACGACGGGUAGCCGGCCUGAGAGGGCGACCGGCCACAUUGGGACUGAGAUACGGCCCAGACUCCUACGGGAGGCAGCAGUGGGGAAUAUUGCACAAUGGGCGCAAGCCUGAUGCAGCGACGCCGCGUGCGGGAUGACGGCCUUCGGGUUGUAAACCGCUUUUGAUCGGGAGCAAGCCUUCGGGUGAGUGUACCUUUCGAAUAAGCACCGGCUAACUACGUGCCAGCAGCCGCGGUAAUACGUAGGGUGCAAGCGUUAUCCGGAAUUAUUGGGCGUAAAGGGCUCGUAGGCGGUUCGUCGCGUCCGGUGUGAAAGUCCAUCGCUUAACGGUGGAUCUGCGCCGGGUACGGGCGGGCUGGAGUGCGGUAGGGGAGACUGGAAUUCCCGGUGUAACGGUGGAAUGUGUAGAUAUCGGAA
This 539-nucleotide ribosomal RNA is filed under the name Bifidobacterium pseudocatenulatum. RNAcentral's name for it is "bacterial SSU rRNA". It matches the Rfam family "Bacterial small subunit ribosomal RNA", at positions 151 to 702 of the family's 1533-position model. Lineage: Bacteria; Bacillati; Actinomycetota; Actinomycetes; Bifidobacteriales; Bifidobacteriaceae. The record is from RNAcentral.